Molecule: non-coding RNA, 4066 nt
Organism: Homo sapiens (human)
Lineage: Eukaryota; Metazoa; Chordata; Mammalia; Primates; Hominidae
Source: RefSeq, a predicted model, not a curated record
GGGAUGGGGAGGAGAGAGGAGCCUCAGGAAUUCGUUCCCCCAUUGCACUAAGCCUCCCACGUACCCCUCCUUCCGCCAGCUUCUGGCACCUAGCCACAAGACGCCAUGCUGCGCCAGAGGCUAAGAAGCCCGUGAGUCCCGGGCCCGCCCUCUCCCACCUGGGCAGGAUGAGGGGAAAGGGAAAAGCUGCUUUGGAGAGAGGCAGAUGCAGGCGUGAGUCUGUGUGACUCUGGGCUCAGCUCUUUUGCCCACUUCGUUCUCUUCCCUCCUGUAGAAGCAGGAACAAUCCAGUCCGCCCUAGUUCAUAGAACUCCUCCAGCCUAGCACUCAGCAGACGCUCUAUUCGUGCACAUUGCCACAAUGAAUACGUCAUUGAACAAAGCGGUUAACCUGAGGUCUUUUCUCCUUUAAUUUUUUCCAACAAUAGGAACAGUUUUUAUUUCCAUACUUGCUCCGAACACCCUGAGAGACAGCAAAAUUGGGUGUUUGUCAGUUGGUGCCCUCUACCCCACGCAGCCCCCCUGCAAGCUUCUUUCAGGUUUUAGGGAAAGUGGAGCCUUGUCCUUCUGCGAGGAUCGGGCGCCCUCUUGCGGCCAUCUCGGGAUUCCCGAAGUUCAGGUCCCCGCAGCAGGAGAGUGGGAUUCUCCGGGGCUGAGGACAGGGAGGCCAAGGGACCCCUCCGCCUGCCUGCGGAAGUGGCCUGGCAGUCCCCUACUCUCCAGGAGCCUGUCCCUUCUUUCUUCAUCAGGCUGGACACCGAGGCUGAGUCCCCGGGGAAGCUGACCACGGCCAGGCACCGCCUAAAGGGAGUGUGUGAGGGAUGGGGGCCGCCCCUCCCGCAGGCACAGGACUCAGCCAUCACAAAUGCCAGUGGUCCUUGGAACACGUCUGCCCGGCUGAGCCUGCCAGAUGCCCAGUUUAGGGAAGCGCGUGAGGAACAGAAAUGGAGGAGACCCGACCAGACAAGAGGCAGUCUACCCAGCUGCAGGUCGUGUCAUUUCCUCUCCAAAAACAGACAGGGAGCGCCAGCCGCCUGUGCAUCGCCCCACUGUGGCAUUGGGACAAUUGCUCCUGCUGUCCCCUUCCCUCCAGGAAUGAUCUAGCUGGGCUCUAGGAAGCCUCCAGGACUGCCACAUUCAUAGUUCCAGGGGCAGGGGCCACCAUGAGCACAAUGCACCCAGGCGUGUGAGGGGGUCCCCCGACAACCCUUGCCCCCGCUGCCCACUCAGAGACCACCCUCGCUGAGCUGCUCCUCCGUGGCCUGGCCCUUCUAAACCUCUGGCUCCUUCUUCUGGGCAUUUGGGGUAUGGGAUCCCUUUCCUAAUUAACCAGAAACGCCCCAACCAGGCUUGGGCACACAGGUGGUCCUCAGGAAUCGGAGCUGGCUUAGAGAAGGUGGAAUGAGUUGGGAGCUCCUGUGAUCACAGCAACAAACGACUUUUCCACCAGCCAAGAACUGGGCACCUCCCACGCGGCCCCUUCACAUGGCCUCGAAGUGGGUGUGGCAAAUAUGACCCGCCUUAUAGAGGAGACCUACACCGAGCCCCCAGGGAGCCAUCAGCAGAGAGAGGCAGCGCAGAGGCUGGAGCCGACUUCCCCUCACCACAGAUCUGGGUCAACUCUAAGGAGCACUUUGUCCAGCAAAAGGGAAACCUGGCUUGUUCCCUCGAGCCUGGAAUGGACAUGGAAAGGGUGUCUUUUUGGCAGAAGCAAGGAUCUCCAGAUGGUUUCGAAACAGAAUUUACCCAGCACCAGACCCUCCUGGGCCAGUCACAUGGCCUUUGAGUGACCAGGAUCUUCAGGAGCCACUUUCAGGAAAUGCAGCAAAGGUGAUUUUCCUGUGAAACUUCAAUCCCAGGCAGGCCCUCCUCAGCCCACAGGGCCAUGGAUCUCUCAACUGAGCUGAGCUAAGCUUCCUCCACUGAUCCCCCCAGUCUGCUGUGUGCAGGGAGCAACAUAGAAACAUCCCCCAAGACAGCUCUUCAAACAACGCAUUACUGCUUAUGGAUUAUUAUUAUUAUUAUCAUUAUUAUUAAUUAUUUUUUGAUGGAGUUUCACUCUUGUUGCCCAGGCUAGAGUGCAAUGGUGCCAUCCUGGCUUACUGCAACCUCUGCCUCCCUGGUUCAAGCGAUUCUCCUUCUUCAGCCUCCCUAGUAGCUGGGAUUACAGGCAUGUGCUACCAUGCCUGGCUAAUUUUAUAGUUUUAGUAGAGUCAGGGUUUCACCAUGUUGCUCAGGCCAGUUUCGAAGUCCUGACCUCAGGUCAUCCAUCUGCCUCGCCCUCCCAAAGUGCUGGGAUUACAGGCAUGAGCCACGGCGCCUGGCCACUGCUUAUGCAUUUUUAAACUUUCUUUUAAUUUUUUUACUGGAUAUUAUUUUCCAGGCCUGAAGUGUUUCCUGUUGAAGAACUCGCUUUACUCUCAUGGAGCCUCUAGGAGGCACUAUUGUGACCUAUUUAUAGGAAGAUAAACAGAGGCUGGGGUGGUGAAGUGAAAAGUUGCCGGGCUAAAGAACUGGGCUGGCAGCCCAGACAUCAGCCCUCAGCCCUCCCAGCCGGGAAGGGUCCAGAGUACAUGCGGGAUCAGAGAUCUUCAUAGCAGAAAGCGCUCUUUGAUGCCAGCCACACUGACUCCACAGGGAGCAGAGUGUGUUCAAAGGCCAGGAUUUUAUUCCCCCAUCCCCACCCUCCCCGAUUCUCACCACUAUCCAAUUAAAAACAAAAACAAUCGCAUAAAUGGUACUACGUGCCAGGGACUUUGUAGACAUACAUGCCUUUCACAGAUCCCACCUAUGUAGGUGGGUAUUUUUGAUUCCUCUAUUUUCCGGUGAGAUUCAGAGAAGUUAAGCAACUGGCCUGUGAUCACCCAGACAGCAGGAGUGGAGCCUCAGUCUGGGAUCUGACCAGUGCCUGUUGCUCUGAGCCUGCAGAGCCAGUCCCAGGCUCCAUCCACCCCGCCCUCCAGCAGCCUGGCCUGAUUCAAAUGCCAGGACUGCAGGUUCCUAAAUCAGCGUCCAUCAGCCCAAGGUCAGGGUUAUUACAGUUUACACAACUACAGUCACCAAGGAGUAACUAGGACAGGACAGGCUGGUUCUAGCAGCUGCUGAGAGAGGGAGAGAGGGAGAGGGAGAGAGAGAGAGAGAGAGAGAGAGAGAGAGAGAGAGAGAGAGAGAGAGAGAGAGAGAAAACUCAGCAAGAAUUCCUCUAGAUAGCACUAUUUGAAAUCUUCCCAUGAUGAAAUUAAAAGUGAGUCUUAAAUGAUUUAUUUUUUCAAUCUGUGAAUCUAAACAAAUGAUCCCCCUUCUAGGUACAUGUAUCAUAUGAUCUCCUUCACAGCUGUGAAAAAAUGCUAUUAGUGCUUUCAAAGCAGUUUUAUCACAGAUUAAAGAAGCCUAGAAAAAAAAUUGGCAGCCAGAGACAGCCAUAUGCCUACUUGACCUAGGACGGUAAACCUGUUGUUCAUUCCAGAGAGGGGAUUAUGGCAUUACUUUUAGUAAGUUGCUUUUCAUAUGGAAAUUUCCUUUCAUAGUAAAGAUCUGUCUUUAAUAGCAUCAUCCUAAAAACAUGCCUAUUUUUUAAUUCCACGAUCAUGGACAUAUAGAUUUUUAUAGUGUCUGCAAGCAUACAUUAAUGUUAAUUUCACCAUUCUCCUUUGUAUUUUGUUAAUGUCACAGUCUGCUGUAAAACCUUGCCAAGUUUCUUAACUGUCAUGUUAAUUCCAAGACCUAUUCUGCACUCUUUGACAUUUCAGGACAGAACAAGGCAGUAAAAAUAGAUUAGAAACAGCUUAUAAGUAUUAUAAAAUCUAGAACUUUACAGAUGGUGGAAUUAGGUCUGCUGAAUGGAAAUUUAGCAACUCCUGAAUGCAAUAAUAUUAGAAAAUCGUAUUCAUUUCUAAGGUAAAUAUUUGGAAGGCGUCGUAUAAUGGCGGCUGGAGAAGUUGGGGAAACUUAUAAAAUGCAACAGAGUUAUAUAAUUUUAAGAAACAUACUGUAUGCAUAUACCAUAUCCUGCAGAGUUUCGGGUUUCAAAGGUUUUCUCCACUGUAUAAAUAAAGGGCAAAUAGUAA